Molecule: long non-coding RNA, 1145 nt
Organism: Osmerus eperlanus (European smelt)
Lineage: Eukaryota; Metazoa; Chordata; Actinopteri; Osmeriformes; Osmeridae
Exons: 2
Source: RefSeq, a predicted model, not a curated record
GUGGCGCUAUAAAACACGCCCAAAGUCUACGUGAUUUCCCCAGCGCCCCAUUAGUCCAAAAUGCCUGUAAAUUGGUAGACAUGCCUUAUUUCUCAUGGGGAACAAAAAAGCCUCAAGGACCCAUAUUGUCAGACUUAUGAAUUUUCUUGUACUGUCCAAAUUUGGUACAACCUUCAAAACCCUUCUCCUCAUGAACAAUAGAUCCAAUCGACUUGAAAUUUGUUACAGAUUUGUAGAAUACAUGUCUUUCUAUAGGGUCAAAUUGAAUAAGGAAUGCAAUACAAAAUGGCUGAAAGAAGUGUAUUUAUGUAAAUGUCCACAUUGCCACAAUAUCUUAUUGUUAAUAAAUCAAAUAUAAUUUUGACUGAUGGUUUUUCAAACGUUAGUGCCUUCAAGUUGACAUCAUUCUGAAGUACCAUACGCAAUUUCACCUUGAUAUGUCAAUAUAUGUUUGAAAUCAAUUGAAUGGCUCCACAGCGCACGCGCACACUCAUCCUGCCCCUUGACACACGAGCGAGCUUGGCGAGACACACACACAUGCUUUCUGGAAAUUGUGUGCUGACUAAGCCCCCACCCUCGGUUUUUAGCUCCUGUUUCAUUUUGCUUCCAAUCGCAGCUCGCCAUUACGAAUAUAAAUUCUUUUUCGGCGGCCAUUGUUGUUUUCAACUGGAGUUGCCUGAUAGCCGUGUUGGAGGCAGCCACGUUCGGUCUUGAGGGUCAUGCAGAGGCCUGCUCAACAGAGUUCAACAGAGGACGCUGAGCGUAACAGAGGAUGCAACAGAGGAUGCUGAGAUCAACACAGGCCCCUUGCUGGACUACCCCUCUCUAGCUGGACAGCUUCUCUUCAGCCCUGACCCCAGGACAGCUUCAUCCUGCAGGCCCUGCUUGCCCCUGCCUGACAGCCCUCCAGAGACAGUCACCCCACAGACACAGUAGCUCUGCAGACUGCUUUUUUGAGGACAUUGAUGAAAAAGGACAAACCAGCAUUUUUUACUUUGAUGAAAGUCUAAAUGUUUAAUCCUUUCCAUGUCCCAGUAUGCCAAUCUGCUGACUUUGAGUGUCUUAAGUGAUGAAACCAGUUCAAGUGAUAGACUUUUGACCUGAAUCCAAUUAUUAUUCAUCUGAAUAAAAACCACUCAAGAGAA